GUACGGGCAGGUGUGCAGGCAUUUGCCCGCCGCAGCUUCAAAGAGAGAUUGCCAGUUUCCUAGAGGCGCGAUUGCUCGGGAACAUGAAUGAAAAUCCUAAGACAGAAGAGACCAGUGGUUUAGCUGUCAGAAUGCAGUGGCCUGCCCUCCUGACCCCUUGCUGACAUUAAACAGCCCCUGCCCUGGAAUGCCGCUCCUGGCCUGGCAUCCUGGGAGCGUGUGUCCAGCCUGCGGGACAGAGAUAAGCGUAAACCUAGCCUCUGAUUCUGAACACUAGCUAAGGCUCCCGACAGUUGACGAGAUUGAUGAUUUUCAGCUGGUAUGUCUCCGUAACUGAGGAGGCCAUAGCUUUGAUGUAUUGGUCAGAUCAAUUUGGCUUAAGUGCCCCAGUAAAUGAAUGCAAAUGACUUAAGGAAAUUUCUAACUCAAAGGCGAGCCACUAAUCCACGUCUUUCAGACCAGAAGCCGAAUCAUCCAAAGCGGGUGCAGUAUGUGGAGAAAGGGGUGCUUGUCUCCUCCGUUUUCUCCUUAGGAAGACUUCACUGUUGGAGACCUUUCUUCUGAGUGCUGCCCUGGGGUGCUGUUCAAAAUCCAGGCGUCUCAUGAAUUAUGCUGCCAGAUCUAGGAGGAGCCAGUCCUCUUUGGAACUAGGUGAACUGGGCUAAUGAGAAACAGGCCCAUCUCAUCCGCCAGCCAGUUUGCUCCAGGGCCAGAGGAAAGCCGGGGCCUCUGGCUCCCACAUCCCAUGUGGCAACCAACCAUCAGGUUAUGCUUGGCUUUGCAACCAUCAGGAAAGGCCUCACGUCUGCCUAACUGCAAAACAAUUUGGUUGGCUUAUAAAUUGCUGCCUCUAUCAUGUGCUUCUGAAUUAAAAGGAACGGAUGGUUUUUAAAGGUUUAUCUGUUUCAUUAUUGAUGCAGAAUGACCUCGUGCUGACAAAUUUCGAUUUUCACACGGUUUCUUUGCUGAUGCAGUAUCUCUGCCACCCAUGCUCUAGGGCAGCGUGGAGCCACUUCAGAGCAUGGCUUUUGUGAGCCAGCGCCCAGCAGGGUGUUCUUUUCUGAGUGCAAAGAGAGAAUCCACUGACCUCAUUUGCUUCCAUCCUGUGAACCUCUCAGUGUGUUUCAGAACACCAGGGUCUGAACAGAGAAGCUUCAGAAUACUUUCUCCGACUAGAGAACUUUUUUAUGGUGGGAGGAAAAAAUGUUGCCAGUCCCACUUCACAGACACCUGGAAUUCAUGAAGUCUGAGGACUUCUUUCAUUUUACUUUCAACUAAAAGCUCUAGCACGAAACAGCAAAGGCUCACAGAACUAAAGAUCAGGAGGUGGCCCUGUGAGAGGGUGUUCAGCCUGGAUCCCUGGUGAAACUCCAUCAUUGAGCAGCAUAUCUACUUCAGAAAGCGUGGAAAGAAAAGAGCCUGGUGGGAAAAGUCUAUCAAGUGAUAGUGACGUGCCCUUAUGGAAAAAAUUCUGGGUUCAGAAACAAUAGAGAUACCAAACAAGAUAAGACUAAGCCACAGAGGUAUCUGAAAAGCUGCCAUCAAUCAAAGCUCUUUGUGAAGCUGGUUAGUGCAGGUUCCAUUGUUCUAAGGAGCAGGCAAAAGGAACAAAUAAAAUCCAGCUGUUUCUUCAUUCUUGCACCAGAUAACACCCUCCAAAACCCCGCAAGGUGAAGCUCAUGUCAUCCAAAACCAAGGCAUGAGCCAGAGCCUAAAUAGAGGAAAGAAAAUAGAAGAGAGAAUUCUAGCGACAUAUCUGGUCAUCAUUCCAAGCAACCUGGCUGAACUUUUGCAUCGACAAACAAUUUUUUCUUGAGCAUUUUUAAAUUUACAAGCUGGUUUUCAACAAAGCUUUUCAAAAAGAAGUCUUUAUGAUGGUAAAUCUUUAAAAGAAAUGUGUUUUAGACCAAGAAAGGCAAACCUUUCAUGUCCUGUUUAGUCUCUAGCAUGCUUGUUUUCAAAACACAAGCUCCAGUCUGCAUGUUUCUGCAGUCAACUGUCUGUCUUAGAAAAUAUCUCAAAAUCAAUCUGUCCCCGUGUUUGCUUAUGAUUCUGCGGUAAUCCUCUGUUUGUAGUCACAAGUUGUCAGGAGAACAUCAUGUAAGGCAUGGUAUGAAGACUUAAGAAAUCUUGAAAUCAGAAACUUCAAUUUUCUUUCUCUUGAAGUGUUUCUAAGGGAUGAAAAAUGAGAAAGGAAAUUAGCAUCUACUGUUACCUCAUUUAAUUCCUUCAACCAUCUUCAGGGUAUUAUUGUCUCCAAAAAGAAACCAAGGUUCAGAGAAGAGGACUCACUUGCCCUGUGACCUAUGACCAGGGGUCCCACGUUGGGACCCAGAAUUCUGACUCGAACCCAGUGCUGGCUCCCCUGUGUCCCAGGGAUGGGCAGGAUAAGAUGUUCUUUAAAACUUUGUUUGUUGGGCACCUCAAAAAACCCUUAUGAAUUAUUGCUUAAGUUAUUUUGGCAUAAUAACGUCACUAAGUCCAUGGAAAAUUAAACUUUUAGAAUCUCUGUUAUAUGGCUAGAUCAAUACUAAACUACCCCUUUUUUUCCAAGUCCCUGGAAAAAGUGAAAUUAUAAGUUUUGACUACAUGGGAGGGCUUUGGUGCCUCAUACACUUGCAUUAAAUGCAGUAUCCUUGAAAAUAAUAGAAUAUGUAUUUGUGAGAGUAAAAAUUUAUACAUGCAGCAGUCCAUAAGAGAAUUAGAUCUAGAAAGUACAACUUGAAAGAGUUCUAAACUCUUAGAACAAAUUGAUUUAAAUUUGAAUAGUACUGAAUAUGAAUUGAUGGAAAGUGAAUAUUUAGAACCCCCUUUUGUGAAUUUCAGUAAGCUGACAUUUGUUAGCUCCUGACGCAGUAGCUUUUCUGAGUCAAGAACUGAAGGUACCUUGAAUUACCUGACAGAUAAUCAUACAGAGAUGUGAAGUCAAAUGUCAUAUUCCAUUAAGCCUAAUCUGCAGUUGCAGGAAGGGUGGACAAUCUUGCCUAAACAUUUGACAGAUUUGGAAUGUCUCUUGCCAUAGACAUUUAGCAUGAACCAGCUUCAUUGUCCUAGUAUCUGUCACACAGAAAUGGUCCCUUGCUCGGCUUCUAAUGGAUUUGCUGCAAAGGCUGUGAGGAAUGAGUCACACUCAGGGACACGAUGACACAGGAACAGCUUCUACAACACAAUCCUCUGCAAUAGGGAAAGCUGUGCCUCUCCCCAGGGACCUGCCUAUAAAGUUGGUCUUCUUUCCACUAAGGAGGCAUUCCUGAGAGCCCCCCAUAAAUUAAGGAGAACUUCUCUAGGUAACUACUAAAAAAUAAGGCCAACAAACUAAAUCCUUGGGAUAUGAAAUAUUAAUGUGAUGGGAAUUACCUUAAUAGGAAACAAUUGAGUAUACACUGUAUUACAUAAGUGAGGCUUAAAAAAAAAAUAACAUUGAGUUCCGGGCAUUUUUUUUCUUCCUUGGAAAAUGCCUUGAAAUCUUUUCCAUCAACACAGUCUAACAGUACAGGUUAUGGGUGACAUAUAGUUUCAAGGCAAAUUGCAGCUUAGUUGGUCAAACUCUUUCAGUAGGAAAAAAAAUGACAAUUUGAAAGAGUUCUGGAAGGGCUAACACUAAACAGUUCCAUCUUGACCUCAAACCAACGCAAUCUGCAAACAAGUCAAUAUGUGAACCCAAAGGAAGAUUCUGCCCCAGCCUAAGAAAGGGACAACUUUUCCUUCUCUGGAAUCGAAAUGUUCCAUGAAAUUAAAUCAUUGAUUAAAAGCUGGGGAGGCAAAGACUGUUGAAAUGUCAGUUAAGAUACUUUAGGCUGCAAAUCUGAUUCACCAUUGCUUAAACGAUAAGAAAUGGUAUCUGCACAGCUGGAAGUCCAGGAUGGGAUGGCUUCAAGUUUGGCUCUAUCCAGGGACUGUCUCUCAAUCUUCUGUUUAGUGGGUGUUGUCCUAGGCUGGCUUCACUCAAGGGGAUAAAAAUAAGUAUGGUCCUCCCAGGCCUUAUAUCCAUCUACACAACAUCCUGGGGAAGAGGUUUCUGGAACCUCUAGUACUAAUCCAUAUACCAUGGGAAUAACAGGUACUGAUUGGCUUCAACCUGAAUUCCUUAAAUUAAUCUUUGUGAAAAGGAGGCUGGGAUGACCUUGAUUGAGUUAAAAUAGUCAGGGUUCCACCUGUGGAGUGGAGGAUGAGAUCAGUUUCCUACAAUCCACAUCCUACACAAUGGGUGAGGGAUGGAAGGAAUGCUGGAGACUACCACAUACCCGCCGAUAUUCAUGAUAUCUUGGUCUUUUGUGUUUCACAAUAAACUCUUAA
RNAcentral lists this long non-coding RNA (4296 nucleotides) under Homo sapiens (human). Its description in RNAcentral is "HSALNT0247463". Lineage: Eukaryota; Metazoa; Chordata; Mammalia; Primates; Hominidae. The record is from RNAcentral.